CUCACCGUUGCUUAAAAAUCUAUUUUGUUGUAUAAAAUGAGACAUCUCAAUUGUGUUGUAUUAGUCGUGGUAGUAUUAGCCAUGCUUUUAUGUGUCCAACCGGCUGAAAGUAGUCGAUUAUUGAGUGAUCAAGAUAUGAGAUUAAAGAAAAGAGGCAUUUUUCUGCAUGCACUUCAAAGGGGUCCUGUCCCUCCUUCUGGACCAUCAGGUUGCACCAACAUCCCCGGAGGUGGCGGCUCCGGCUGCCCAAUCAGGGAAAUGCACUUGGCUGGUGGCGGCACGCAGCCUUGAGCUGCUGCCGAUUCACAACCCAUGAAUUUAUUUGGUGCGACUAGCUCGGUACGCACAAAUAAUUAAUAAUAUCCAUUUGUUAGACUCGGAUGACAUGUUCAAUAUACUGUAAUGCACAUAAUGAUUGUGCAAAGUUUCGAUUUUUAGUACUCUUAUUCAUUUAAUUGUGUUAUUUAUUCACUUAAUUUGUAAUUUUUUUACUUUUGGGAAGGAAUUUCAAGUUUUUAGAUAUAAUCUCAGUAUUCUUUGUAAUGAGCAAGUUCGUCGAACAUGUACUCAUUUUUGUUUUACUUAUCAAGAAAAAACUCAUAUUGUAACAAUAGUUGUUAUUUUUAUUAUCCAAUUAUCAUCGUAUCAACGUAUACCUAGAUGCUUUUCACAAUCAAACAAGUUGGGUUUGUGAAA
This 696-nucleotide long non-coding RNA is filed under the name Olea europaea subsp. europaea. Lineage: Eukaryota; Viridiplantae; Streptophyta; Magnoliopsida; Lamiales; Oleaceae. The record is from RNAcentral.